CCAGAGCCUGAAUCAGUGUGUGUGUUAGUGGAAGCGUCUGGAAAGGCGCGCGAUACAGGGUGACAGCCCCGUACACAAAAAUGCACAUGCUGUGAGCUCGAUGAGUAGGGCGGGACACGUGGUAUCCUGUCUGAAUAUGGGGGGACCAUCCUCCAAGGCUAAAUACUCCUGACUGACCGAUAGUGAACCAGUACCGUGAGGGAAAGGCGAAAAGAACCCCGGCGAGGGGAGUGAAAAAGAACCUGAAACCGUGUACGUACAAGCAGUGGGAGCACGCUUAGGCGUGUGACUGCGUACCUUUUGUAUAAUGGGUCAGCGACUUAUAUUCUGUAGCAAGGUUAACCGAAUAGGGGAGCCGAAGGGAAACCGAGUCUUAACUGGGCGUUAAGUUGCAGGGUAUAGACCCGAAACCCGGUGAUCUAGCCAUGGGCAGGUUGAAGGUUGGGUAACACUAACUGGAGGACCGAACCGACUAAUGUUGAAAAAUUAGCGGAUGACUUGUGGCUGGGGGUGAAAGGCCAAUCAAACCGGGAGAUAGCUGGUUCUCCCCGAAAGCUAUUUAGGUAGCGCCUCGUGAAUUCAUCUCCGGGGGUAGAGCACUGUUUCGGCAAGGGGGUCAUCCCGACUUACCAACCCGAUGCAAACUGCGAAUACCGGAGAAUGUUAUCACGGGAGACACACGGCGGGUGCUAACGUCCGUCGUGAAGAGGGAAACAACCCAGACCGCCAGCUAAGGUCCCAAAGUCAUGGUUAAGUGGGAAACGAUGUGGGAAGGCCCAGACAGCCAGGAUGUUGGCUUAGAAGCAGCCAUCAUUUAAAGAAAGCGUAAUAGCUCACUGGUCGAGUCGGCCUGCGCGGAAGAUGUAACGGGGCUAAACCAUGCACCGAAGCUGCGGCAGCGACGCUUAUGCGUUGUUGGGUAGGGGAGCGUUCUGUAAGCCUGUGAAGGUGUGCUGUGAGGCAUGCUGGAGGUAUCAGAAGUGCGAAUGCUGACAUAAGUAACGAUAAAGCGGGUGAAAAGCCCGCUCGCCGGAAGACCAAGGGUUCCUGUCCAACGUUAAUCGGGGCAGGGUGAGUCGACCCCUAAGGCGAGGCCGAAAGGCGUAGUCGAUGGGAAACAGGUUAAUAUUCCUGUACUUGGUGUUACUGCGAAGGGGGGACGGAGAAGGCUAUGUUGGCCGGGCGACGGUUGUCCCGGUUUAAGCGUGUAGGCUGGUUUUCCAGGCAAAUCCGGAAAAUCAAGGCUGAGGCGUGAUGACGAGGCACUACGGUGCUGAAGUAACAAAUGCCCUGCUUCCAGGAAAAGCCUCUAAGCAUCAGGUAACAUCAAAUCGUACCCCAAACCGACACAGGUGGUCAGGUAGAGAAUACCAAGGCGCUUGAGAGAACUCGGGUGAAGGAACUAGGCAAAAUGGUGCCGUAACUUCGGGAGAAGGCACGCUGAUAUGUAGGUGAAGUCCCUUGCGGAUGGAGCUGAAAUCAGUCGAAGAUACCAGCUGGCUGCAACUGUUUAUUAAAAACACAGCACUGUGCAAACACGAAAGUGGACGUAUACGGUGUGACGCCUGCCCGGUGCCGGAAGGUUAAUUGAUGGGGUCAGCGCAAGCGAAGCUCUUGAUCGAAGCCCCGGUAAACGGCGGCCGUAACUAUAACGGUCCUAAGGUAGCGAAAUUCCUUGUCGGGUAAGUUCCGACCUGCACGAAUGGCGUAAUGAUGGCCAGGCUGUCUCCACCCGAGACUCAGUGAAAUUGAACUCGCUGUGAAGAUGCAGUGUACCCGCGGCAAGACGGAAAGACCCCGUGAACCUUUACUAUAGCUUGACACUGAACAUUGAGCCUUGAUGUGUAGGAUAGGUGGGAGGCUUGGAAGUGUGGACGCCAGUCUGCAUGGAGCCGACCUUGAAAUACCACCCUUUAAUGUUUGAUGUUCUAACGUUGACCCGUAAUCCGGGUUGCGGACAGUGUCUGGUGGGUAGUUUGACUGGGGCGGUCUCCUCCUAAAGAGUAACGGAGGAGCACGAAGGUUGGCUAAUCCUGGUCGGACAUCAGGAGGUUAGUGCAAUGGCAUAAGCCAGCUUGACUGCGAGCGUGACGGCGCGAGCAGGUGCGAAAGCAGGUCAUAGUGAUCCGGUGGUUCUGAAUGGAAGGGCCAUCGCUCAACGGAUAAAAGGUACUCCGGGGAUAACAGGCUGAUACCGCCCAAGAGUUCAUAUCGACGGCGGUGUUUGGCACCUCGAUGUCGGCUCAUCACAUCCUGGGGCUGAAGUAGGUCCCAAGGGUAUGGCUGUUCGCCAUUUAAAGUGGUACGCGAGCUGGGUUUAGAACGUCGUGAGACAGUUCGGUCCCUAUCUGCCGUGGGCGCUGGAGAACUGAGGGGGGCUGCUCCUAGUACGAGAGGACCGGAGUGGACGCAUCACUGGUGUUCGGGUUGUCAUGCCAAUGGCACUGCCCGGUAGCUAAAUGCGGAAGAGAUAAGUGCUGAAAGCAUCUAAGCACGAAACUUGCC
RNAcentral lists this ribosomal RNA (2505 nucleotides) under Escherichia coli. Its description in RNAcentral is "partial 23S ribosomal RNA". It matches the Rfam family "Bacterial large subunit ribosomal RNA", at positions 296 to 2798 of the family's 2925-position model. Lineage: Bacteria; Pseudomonadati; Pseudomonadota; Gammaproteobacteria; Enterobacterales; Enterobacteriaceae. The record is from RNAcentral.